UACAGAGGGGGCAAGCGUUGUUCGGAAUUACUGGGCGUAAAGGGCGCGUAGGCGGCCGCCUAAGUCAGACGUGAAAUCCCUCGGCUCAACCGGGGAACUGCGUCUGAUACUGGGUGGCUUGAAUCCGGGAGAGGGAUGCGGAAUUCCAGGUGUAGCGGUGAAAUGCGUAGAUAUCUGGAGGAACACCGGUGGCGAAGGCGGCCAUCUGGACCGCAACUGACGCUGAGGCGCGAAAGCGUGGGGAGCAAACAGG
This 253-nucleotide ribosomal RNA is filed under the name uncultured bacterium. RNAcentral's name for it is "partial 16S ribosomal RNA". It matches the Rfam family "Bacterial small subunit ribosomal RNA", at positions 524 to 776 of the family's 1533-position model. The record is from RNAcentral.